AUGAAAAGCGGGCAAGAAAAGAAAACAAGCGGGGCGAGGACAGAAAAAGGGCACCCCGAUAGCUGCUGCUCGGCGACCGGGCGCAGGCGCAGGCGCAGCCCCGCCCUAGCGCCUGAAAAAGAAUCCCCGGACGGCGCCAUACGUGCGGCCUUUUCCGGGCACGAAGCUUCAUUCUCCGGCACGGUGCAUGCACCGGCCGUGGAACUGGAACCAUCCAAGCGAAACGAGAGCGACCCCACAAGCUCAAGCUCCAUGAGACGACAACACGGGCUUGGCUCGAGCUCGCGCUGGGAAGAAAGGAUCGUUGCCUGGACGUGA
RNAcentral lists this ribosomal RNA (318 nucleotides) under Triticum aestivum (bread wheat). RNAcentral describes it as "partial small subunit ribosomal RNA". The record is from RNAcentral. Lineage: Eukaryota; Viridiplantae; Streptophyta; Magnoliopsida; Poales; Poaceae.